CACGUAGGGCGCGAGCGUUGUCCGGAAUCAUUGGGCGUAAAGCGCACGUAGGCGGUUCGUUAUGUCGGAUGUGAAAGCCCUUGGCUUAACCGAGGAAGUGCAUCCGAAACUGGCGAGCUAGAGUACUAAAGAGGAUCGCGGAAUUCCCGGUGUAGAGGUGAAAUUCGUAGAUAUCGGGAGGAACACCGGUGGCGAAGGCGGCCUGCUGGGCAGUUUAGCUGACACUGAGGCGCGACAGCGUGGGGAGCAAACAGG
RNAcentral lists this ribosomal RNA (255 nucleotides) under uncultured bacterium. RNAcentral describes it as "partial 16S ribosomal RNA". It matches the Rfam family "Bacterial small subunit ribosomal RNA", at positions 524 to 776 of the family's 1533-position model. The record is from RNAcentral.